CAGCCAACUGGCUCACAAGGAACCCAGCUGAUCCUUUCUGAGCGCCUCUGCUUAGUCCGGUGUCCCUAGAACCACACCUGUGUCACCUCUGAACCAACUCGGGUCUUCUGAAAAGUUAACACUUCUGUUGGAGACGACAGUUCAUAUUCAUCCGUCAUUGCUAAGGUUCCAGUGACCCUAAGUGGUUUCUGUCCCAACGCGUCCCUUUACAGCGAGAGACUCAGCUUCCGCCGGAAGCCGGGUGACGGAGAUGUGGCCAUACCGACCAUUUAAAGCGAUUCCAACUCCGGCGAAGCCUGGCUGGAAAGACGCGGCUUCCAUCCCGGCAGCCUGGAGGAGGAUCGAGCAGGGGCUGUGCCUGGGCUUGCCUGGACUUGUUCAGAGAAGGGCUGCUCCCCUCGGUAACUGCACAGAUUGGGGGCUUUGGGAGACGUUGCCAGAACCUGGAAGCCACGGCCGGGGGCUACUGGGGCCCGGGGUCUGCGCACCUGCUCGCUGUGGAGCUCAGGAGUGU
RNAcentral lists this long non-coding RNA (514 nucleotides) under Mus spicilegus (steppe mouse). Its description in RNAcentral is "lncRNA (ENSMSIG00000024693.1)". Lineage: Eukaryota; Metazoa; Chordata; Mammalia; Rodentia; Muridae. The record is from RNAcentral.